RNAcentral lists this ribosomal RNA (680 nucleotides) under Sistrum elegans. RNAcentral's name for it is "partial 16S ribosomal RNA". The stretch from base 1 to 509 matches the Rfam family "Bacterial large subunit ribosomal RNA", at positions 1944 to 2925 of the family's 2925-position model. Lineage: Eukaryota; Metazoa; Mollusca; Gastropoda; Neogastropoda; Muricidae. The record is from RNAcentral.
GACCGUGCAAAGGUAGCAUAAUCAUUUGCCUUAUAAUUGAAGGCUAGUAUGAAUGGUUUGACGAGAAUUAAGCUGUCUCUAUUCAAUUAAAUAUAAUUUUAUCUACAGGUGAAGAAGCCUGUAUCCCGCUGAAAGACAAGAAGACCCUGUCGAGCUUUAAAUAAUUUAGUGAAUAAGUCAGAUGUUCAUAAAAGAGCUAGGUCACUAAAAAUUUUGGUUGGGGCGACUGAGGAACAAAAAGAGCUUCCUCUCAUUUUUAAGACUGACAAGUAUUGAUCCAGUGUUACUGAUUAAAGGAAUUAGUUACCGCAGGGAUAACAGCAUAAUCCCCUUUGAGAGCCCUCAUCGAAAAGGGGGCUUGUGACCUCGAUGUUGGACCAGAAUUUCCGGAAGAUGCAGCCGUCUUCAAAGGUUGGUCUGUUCGACCAUUAAAAUUCUACGUGAUCUGAGUUCAGACCGGCGUGAGCCAGGUCAGUUUCUAUCUUCAGCUGAUAAAAUAGUUUUAGUACGAAAGGACCAAGUUAUUGUAAUACGUUAUUUAUACUGAUUAAAUAUAAAUAGAGAUUAAAACCUUAACGAUCAAAUUAGCAAAGAGAAUGCAACUGACUUAGGAUCAGGAGACAUAGGUGAAACCCCUUUAUUUGAUAGACUUAGGGAUAAAAAUAGAGGUGGCAGAGUAA